Molecule: non-coding RNA, 554 nt
Filed under: Nestor notabilis (Kea)
Lineage: Eukaryota; Metazoa; Chordata; Aves; Psittaciformes; Psittacidae
Description: Eukaryotic small subunit ribosomal RNA
Rfam family: Eukaryotic small subunit ribosomal RNA
Source: Rfam by way of RNAcentral
AAAAAGUUUUGAAUUAAAAAAAAAACAACUCUUCUCACUGCUAAUCCAGAGUUGCCCUUGCUCAUGCUACUUAGAAUAAGGUCAGUCAGAGAAACUGUAAAAAACACUGUUGGCCAGACUGCCCUUUCUUCUCAAAUAGCCUCCACUGAAAAUACUGCUACCAAGACUACUGUAAAGAAACAAACCAAGAAAAACCAACACUUUAGAGUGCAUUCAUUGAGAACUUCAAUACAUUUUCCUGAAGAAAUGGAAGUGUUCAAAGAUGGCUGGCCAACAGUGAAUUCCAGCCAGGAAUAACAGAAUAGGGCUCUGGUUCUUUUUUUGUUAUUUUUUUGGAAGCAGGACCAUGAUUAAGAGCAGUAGCUGGGGCAUUCAUAUUGUGCCACUUGAACUGGAAUUCUUGGAUCAGUGCAAGAUGAACUAAAGCAAAAGCAUUUGCCAAGAAUGUUGUCAUUAAUCAAAAACAAAAGCUGGAGGCUUGUGGCCAACUCAUUAUCUGGUGAUGUUACUCCCAUCACCCUCCAGGCAGCUGACAGAACACCCGUCUUUGGGUU